UCUGAAGUAGUUAUCUUGUGAAGUUAAGUCUAGGAAAGACUUAGACUGAUCAUGUGAAGGCCUUGGAGGAGUUAGAGAGAAGAUGGCAGAGUGUGCAAAUAUAGGGCUCAAAGUGUACCUGAUAACCCAAUCCGUACACUCCCCUAAUGAAGACUUGUAUCACAAGGUAUGAAGAAGAGUGUUGGUGCAAAGUGUGGGCGUGAGAUACUUGAUCUCUUAUGACCGUGGGAGUUAUGGGAAAGCAAGGGAAUAUUCCAAGAGGAUCAGUGUGAGCUGGAUGUGCAAGCUGGAAAGGUAAAGGUGCUUAACCUUUACAGCAAAACCAAUCUCCUCCUUUCAUUCAAAAGAAGCAAUCUGAGCCUUCUAUUUGAAUAAAGUCGCCAGCUAGCACCAGCAACAUCAAAGACCAGUCUUCUCUCAUCCUUACCAUCCAUUCUAUCAUUUAUUUACAGCCUUAGGAUCUAGGUUUAUGAUAUAAGUUGUG
RNAcentral lists this long non-coding RNA (484 nucleotides) under Brassica rapa (field mustard). RNAcentral's name for it is "long non-coding RNA (BRAP_LNC008694)". The record is from RNAcentral. Lineage: Eukaryota; Viridiplantae; Streptophyta; Magnoliopsida; Brassicales; Brassicaceae.